This 429-nucleotide ribosomal RNA is filed under the name Gemmatimonadota bacterium. RNAcentral's name for it is "Gemmatimonadetes bacterium partial 16S ribosomal RNA". It matches the Rfam family "Bacterial small subunit ribosomal RNA", at positions 355 to 776 of the family's 1533-position model. Lineage: Bacteria; Pseudomonadati; Gemmatimonadota. The record is from RNAcentral.
UAGGGAAUCUUCGGCAAUGGACGAAAGUCUGACCGAGCAACGCCGCGUGAGUGAAGAAGGUUUUCGGAUCGUAAAACUCUGUUGUUAGAGAAGAACAAGGACGUUAGUAACUGAACGUCCCCUGACGGUAUCUAACCAGAAAGCCACGGCUAACUACGUGCCAGCAGCCGCGGUAAUACGUAGGUGGCAAGCUUUGUCCGGAUUUAUUGGGCGUAAAGCGAGCGCAGGCGGUUUCUUACGUCUGAUGUGAAAGCCCCCGGCUCAACCGGGGAGGGUCAUUGGAAACUGGGAGACUUGAGUGCAGAAGAGGAGAGUGGAAUUCCAUGUGUAGCGGUGAAAUGCGUAGAUAUAUGGAGGAACACCAGUGGCGAAGGCGGCUCUCUGGUCUGUAACUGACGCUGAGGCUCGAAAGCGUGGGGAGCAAACAGG